This 1071-nucleotide ribosomal RNA is filed under the name Triticum aestivum (bread wheat). RNAcentral's name for it is "partial small subunit ribosomal RNA". Lineage: Eukaryota; Viridiplantae; Streptophyta; Magnoliopsida; Poales; Poaceae. The record is from RNAcentral.
AUGAAGAAGGAGGCGUCCUCGCUGUCCGAGCUCGGCUUCGACGCCGACACCGGCGCCGGCUUCUUCCGCCAGGUUCCAUCGUGCGGCCGCGACGGGGAACUGACCACGCUGCGGCGGACUGAGCGACUCACCAAGGUCUCCGUCAUCGGCGCCGGCAACGUGGGCAUGGCCAUCGCGCAGACCAUCCUCACGCAGGGCCUCACCGACGAGAUCGCGCUCGUGGACGCCGAGGCCGACAGGGUCCGCGGCGAGAUGCUGGACCUGCAGCACGCCGCGGCGUUCCUCCCGCGCGUCCGCAUCGCCGCAGGCACCGACGUCCUCGGGCUCCGAGCCUCCGACCUGGCCAUCAUCACGGUGCCGAGGGAGAGGCCGGCGGCCUCGCGGAUGGGCCAGCUGAGGAGGAACGUGGCGCUGCUGAGGGAGGUCGUGCCGGCCGUGGCGAAGGGGUCGCCGGAGUCGCUGCUGGUGGUGGUGUCGAACCCCGUGGACGUGCUGGCGUACGCGGCGUGGAAGCUGUCGGGGUUCCCGUCGAGCCGCGUGAUCGGCUCCGGCACGGACCUCGACCCCGCCAGGCUGCGGUGCCUCCUGGCCGAGCACCUUGGCGUGGGCGCGCAGGACGUGCAAGCGUACAUGGUCGGCGAGCACGGAGACGGCGCGCUGGCGCUGUGGUCGAGCGUCCGCGUCGGCGGCAUGCCGGUGCUGAGCUACCUCCAGAAGACUCACUCGUCGUUCGACGCGGAGGCCCUGGAGGGGAUCCGGCGGGCGGUGGUGGGCGGCGCGCGCGAGGUGAUCGGCCUCAAGGGGUACACGUCCUGGGCCAUCGGUUACUCGGUGGCCGGCCUCGCCAGGUCGCUCCUCCGCGACCAGCGGCGCGUGCACUCGGUGUCGGUGCUCGCCAAGGGUUUCGUCCCCAGCGACGUCCACGAGGUCUUCCUUAGCCUCCCGGCCAGGCUCGGGCGCCGCGGCGUGCUCGGGGUUGCCGCGGAGCUGGAGCUCACCGGCGACGAGGAAAUGACGCUCCGCCGGUCCGCGGAGACGCUCUGGGGCUACUGUCAGGAGCUCGAGCUAUAA